RNAcentral lists this transfer RNA (66 nucleotides) under Geisha distinctissima. RNAcentral describes it as "tRNA-His". The record is from RNAcentral. Lineage: Eukaryota; Metazoa; Arthropoda; Insecta; Hemiptera; Flatidae.
UAUUUAGUUUAUUUUAAAAUUUUGAUUUGUGGUGUCAGGGAUCUUUUUGAGGAUAGGCUGUGUUAU